Long non-coding RNA from Oryzias latipes (Japanese medaka), 2379 nucleotides. RefSeq lists it as uncharacterized. NCBI's taxonomy places the organism in Eukaryota, Metazoa, Chordata, Actinopteri, Beloniformes, Adrianichthyidae. The record is from RefSeq and is a predicted model, not a curated record.
UUAGGCACGGGCGAUACGGGCGAUUGCCUAGGGCGCAAAAAUGAAGGGGGGCGGCGCUGGCGGCUCAGCCCUUGUAAAAUAAUGUAUGCACCACUAUUGGUUUACUUGUAACAGUCCCAAACAUUUAUGUGUUUAUUCUGUUGUUCUAAAUUAUAUUUUAAUUUGCGCCAUCUAGUGGUGAGAGCAUGUGGAACAAAGUUCAAUUAAAGUUCCACACGGACUCAUUUAACUACGCACACAGCUAUCAGCGCAUUGCUGCAGCCACGUGAAGAUCUCCGAAAGUUAAAGGAAAGCUGAAGCCAAAUGAGCAAUUAGCCCCUCGUGGAUGUCAGCCCACGAGUUCUCACGGGUUGUGAAGACCAAUAAACCCUGUUUUAAACACCUCGUGCUCAUGCUAAUUCCUCGAGGGUGCUACAGUGAGAACUCUUCUGCUCCGCAUGGGUAGACGAGACGGUGCCAGCGCCGAGAGGGACAACAGCGCCACCCUGCGACGGCCAAAUGCACAACACCGAACUUCAAGUUCCCAAAGAUGAAUGUUGCAUCAAGGACUCCGAUUAAUAUUAGUUAAUAUGAAAGUAUAACCGUCGAGAAGAGACUGCAAUAAGAAACAGGAUAUUUUUCGUUUCUGUUUAAUCGAAGGGACUGAGAUAAUUUUAUUUUCUUUUCCUGUUCAAGUUUAAGUGAUUUGUUCAAUAGUGAAAUUUAUCUAUGCUAAGUAACCUGUAUAUUGUUCAUAUUUAGUGAUUCAGAGUUAACAGGAAUUAGAUGUAAUAUUUGCCUAUUCAAGACAAGUUAUUGUUGCUUACUGCACACAGUGGUUUAAGUUCAAUAUUUAUGUUGCAUUAGAAAACAUUAAGACAUUUUGCAGUACUGUUAAGUUAAAGGUGCAGUAAUUUAAACCAACUUUUUUCUAUUUUCCCUACAAAGUACAUAAAACUAAACCAGUAUUUUAAUCUUUAAAGUCAAACGCAAGCUUAAAAAUGUCAAGAUUGGAUGUUUCAUCUGAAGUUGGCGAAGAUGAUGUGACAUUCAGGUUAAAUGAGCAACCAUCAGAAGCUGAGUGCGUUGGAGAUGAUAUCCCCACUACCUCACAAGAUGCACGAAAGAGCCAAAGAGUCCGUACGCUAACGGAAAAGGGGCAAGAGCUGCAUGAUGAGCAGGUAAAGAAGGCCGCACAAAGUUUCAGCACGUGCUACGAGAAGUGGAAGGCUGUCAUUAAAGAGAAUAAGAAAGCUAUAGAUGGACAAUGCUCAAUGGAUCUCCUGGAUGAACACAUCACAAAAGUAAACAGUGCUGCUACCAAUGUUUGUGCUGCAUAUGAUGAUUUAAGACGCAUUGACUCUCCUGACAAUGACGCAAGACGCAGGAUGGAUACCUGUGAUGCAGUAACAAGGAGCAUCAUGGAAGCAGCUGAAAGAUCCCAAACAUUAAGAAACAGAGGUCAAAAGGAUGAAGAAGUUUGGAAGGACGUAGAGUCAGUGUUCAAGUCUGCUGCUUCUGCAAGGUUAAGUGUUAAAUCUCAUCACAGUCCAAAGACUUCUUCCAAGUGUUCAAGCAGACACUCCAGCAAGAGACAAGAGGCAGCAGCUGAAGUUGCCGCAAAUGAAGCUGCCUUAGAAGUUCAACUGGAACAAGAAAAUUGAAUAAAGGAAAUUGAAAAGCAAGAAGCAGAAAUUGCACAGAAACAACGAGAGCUGGAAGCAAAGCGCAGAGAAGUGGAUCGACUGGAAACAAUCAAAAGGCUUCAAGCUGCUAAAGCAAGACAAAGAGUAUAUGAGCAGAGUGAAAGUUCAGAUGAAGACACGUAUGAUGUGCUCCACCAGCAAACCUCUGGUAAGGAAAAAAGGGUUAAGUCAGAAACCAGUAGCUUACCCCUCAGACCUCCUUUCCCACCUCAAAAUGUGAUCUCCACUCCAGAAGUAAACACAACAGAGCUGGUAAGAGCCUUCGCAGAAUCUCUUAACGCAAGUCGUCUCCCAGUCCCAGAGCCAACUAUAUUCAAUGGUGACCCACUCAGAUACAAUGACUGGAAGAUUUCAUUUCUGACUCUUGUUGACAGGAAAGCUUUACCAGCCGAAGAGAAGACAUACUAUUUGCGGAAGUAUGUAAGUGGACCUGCAAGGAAAGCCAUAGUAAGUUACUUUUUGCUGGGUACAGAAUCUGCCUACAAUGCAGCAUGGACAGUUCUUGAAGACAGGUAUGGCAAUCCAUUCCUCAUUGCUAAGGCAUUUAGAGACAAACUUGACGCAUGGCCAAAGAUCAGUUCCAAGGGCAGUGUGGAACUUCAAGAAUAUGCUGACUUUCUUCGCAGUUGUAAUGCAGCCAUGCCACACAUCAAAGGUCUCGAAGUACUAAAUGACUGCAAUGAAAACCAAAAAA